AGUGUAGGCGGGAUCGUAAGUUAGGAGUUUAAUACAUGGGCUUAACCCAUGAGCUGCUUUUAAUACUGCGGUUCUUGAGUAUGGGAGAGGGCGAUGGAAUUCCAGGUGUAGCGGUGGAAUGCGUAGAUAUCUGGAAGAACACCAGUAGCGAAGGCGGUCGCCUGGCCCAAUACUGACGCUGAUGCUCGAAAGCUAGGGGAGCAAACAGGAUUAGAUACCCUGGUAGUCCUAGCCGUAAACGAUGGACACUAGUUGCUGGAGGAGUCAAUCCUUUCGGUGACGAAGCUAACGCAUUAAGUGUCCCGCCUGGGGAGUACGUUCGCAAGGAUGAAA
This 333-nucleotide ribosomal RNA is filed under the name uncultured bacterium. Its description in RNAcentral is "bacterial SSU rRNA". It matches the Rfam family "Bacterial small subunit ribosomal RNA", at positions 568 to 899 of the family's 1533-position model. The record is from RNAcentral.